AUGGGUAAUCAGAGCGCAAGCCCAAGGCGCAGCGGCGAUCAGCGCCAGCCUGUGCGCCGUCGGGGGAAUGCUCCAUCCUGGGGUGGAGGUGGCCAUUUGAGCAACCCCCAAGCUCAAGUUCAUCAUACCGUUAUAGCCCCAUCCCCCCAAACCAACACAGUGGGGUUGAAUACGACAUCGUUGGGUGGAGGUGUGUGUUCUCUCAUCAUUCAGGGUCAUCAUACAUACGUAGCAUCAACUCCUGAGAAUAACACAACAACUGGGGGGAAUGCUCCAUCCCGGGGUGGAGGUGGCCAUCAGAGCAACCCCCAAGCUCAAGUUCAUCACACCAUUAUAGCCCCAUCCCUCCAAACCAGCACAAUGGGGUUGAAUGCGCCAUCGUUGAGUGGAGGUGUGCGUUCUCUCAUCAUGCAGGGUCAUCAUACACACAUAGCAUCAACUCCUGAGAAUAACACAACAACUGAUGCACCAACCGUUGGACCAGAAAACAGAGCUAUCCAUGUGCCCGGUGAAAAUCCGCGUGGCGAGUCAUGA
This 534-nucleotide ribosomal RNA is filed under the name Triticum aestivum (bread wheat). RNAcentral's name for it is "partial small subunit ribosomal RNA". Lineage: Eukaryota; Viridiplantae; Streptophyta; Magnoliopsida; Poales; Poaceae. The record is from RNAcentral.